RNAcentral lists this unclassified non-coding RNA (342 nucleotides) under Hevea brasiliensis (rubber tree). The record is from RNAcentral. Lineage: Eukaryota; Viridiplantae; Streptophyta; Magnoliopsida; Malpighiales; Euphorbiaceae.
AAAAAGAUGAGAAAUAGCAAGAAAUUUGAAGAACUUAGAGGGAGAGAAGCAAAGUCUUAUCAACGGAGAGAAAAUUGGAGGUCGCACUCGCAGAUGUGGGAGAUUCUUUUGGUUUUCUUUAUUUAUCCCGAGAUUUUGGAACUUUUAAUUUCAGGGUUUUGAUUUGUUUCCUUCUGUGUCUGAGUCUCCUUCCUUCGGCGAUAAAUGGCACAAGUGCAGCCCAACCAAUAAGGACUCUUGGUUACGAGACGAAGAAGCAAGGCCGCGACGUCGUUUGCGUGUAGCAUGAGCGGAGGACGAAAAAACAAAGAAAAACAACAGAGUUAGGAAGCCACACUGACA